CAUGCCUAAAAGUGAUGGAUAUCACUUGUGUCCACAAUUUCAUUGACGAGGACUGGCUACACAGAAUUUCAAGGUAAAAUCCUUAAGACUAAAGCUUCAGAAACUUCAAGAAAAAUCAGUUGAAGAUGAUGAUUAUGAUAAGGGUGAGUUUUGUUUUGUUUAUUAUUUCUUCUUUUCCCCAUAAUGUCCCAUUUCUCUUCUUCCUUGCUCACUUCUGCCUACUAUACCCAGAAUGAAUUGUGCAAUCUGUUCCUUUUAUCAGGAACAGUUGACUGUUUUACAGCACUGUUAUUUUGUGGAUUUCAAAGUCUUUUGUGAGCAUUGAUUCUUUGGGUUAUAAGAAAGACUUGAUUUUCUAGAAAUACUUGUACAAUAAAAGUCGUAUUAACUCAU
Molecule: long non-coding RNA, 393 nt
Organism: Manis pentadactyla (Chinese pangolin)
Lineage: Eukaryota; Metazoa; Chordata; Mammalia; Pholidota; Manidae
Exons: 2
Source: RefSeq, a predicted model, not a curated record